AACGAACGCUGGCGGCAUGCCUAACACAUGCAAGUCGAACGAGACCUUCGGGUCUAGUGGCGCACGGGUGCGUAACGCGUGGGAACUUGCCCUUAGGUUCGGAAUAACUCCCCGAAAGGGGUGCUAAUACCGGAUAAUGUCUUCGGACCAAAGAUUUAUCGCCUUUGGAUGGGCCCGCGUUGGAUUAGCUAGUUGGUAGGGUAAAGGCCUACCAAGGCGACGAUCCAUAGCUGGUCUGAGAGGAUGAUCAGCCACACUGGGACUGAGACACGGCCCAGACUCCUACGGGAGGCAGCAGUGGGGAAUAUUGGACAAUGGGCGAAAGCCUGAUCCAGCAAUGCCGCGUGAGUGAUGAAGGCCUUAGGGUUGUAAAGCUCUUUUACCCGGGAUGAUAAUGACAGUACCGGGAGAAUAAGCUCCGGCUAACUCCGUG
Molecule: ribosomal RNA, 433 nt
Filed under: uncultured bacterium
Lineage: Bacteria
Description: partial 16S ribosomal RNA
Rfam family: Bacterial small subunit ribosomal RNA
Source: RNAcentral